RNAcentral lists this ribosomal RNA (807 nucleotides) under uncultured bacterium. RNAcentral describes it as "bacterial SSU rRNA". It matches the Rfam family "Bacterial small subunit ribosomal RNA", at positions 56 to 886 of the family's 1533-position model. The record is from RNAcentral.
UGCAGUCGACGAUUAAGCACCUUCGGGUGUGUAUAGAGUGGCGAACGGGUGAGUAACACGUGACCAACCUGCCUCUUACAUUGGGACAACCAAAAGAAAUUCUGGCUAAUACCAAAUACUCCGCACAUAUCACAUGAUGUAUGCGGGAAAGCUUUUGCGGUAAGAGAUGGGGUCGCGGCCCAUUAGGUAGACGGCGGGGUAGAAGCCCACCGUGCCGAUGAUGGGUAGCCGGGUUGAGAGACCGACCGGCCACAUUGGGACUGAGAUACGGCCCAGACUCCUACGGGAGGCAGCAGUGGGGAAUAUUGCGCAAUGGGGGAAACCCUGACGCAGCAGCGCCGCGUGCGGGAUGAAGGCCUUCGGGUUGUAAACCGCUUUCAGCAGGGAAGACAUCGACGGUACCUGCAGAAGAAGCCCCGGCUAACUACGUGCCAGCAGCCGCGGUAAUACGUAGGGGGCGAGCGUUAUCCGGAUUCAUUGGGCGUAAAGCGCGCGCAGGCGGUUGCUCAAGCGGAACCUCUAAUCUCGGGGCUUAACCUCGAGCCGGGUUCCGAACUGGACGACUCGAGUGCGGUAGAGGCAGAUGGAAUUCCCGGUGUAGCGGUGGAAUGCGCAGAUAUCGGGAAGAACACCAACGGCGAAGGCAGUCUGCUGGGCCGUCACUGACGCUGAGGCGCGAAAGCUGGGGGAGCGAACAGGAUUAGAUACCCUGGUAGUCCCAGCCGUAAACGAUGAGCGCUGGGUGUGGGAGAUUACAUCUUCCGUGCCGAAGCUAACGCAUUAAGCGCUCCGCCUGGGGAGUACGGC